CACCAGCGUGGUCGCCGGGACGGCGCGGUGCUCGCGCAGCACGAAGGCGCUGACCUUGCGGCGCAGGUGCGGUUCGACGGCGCGGCCGGUCACC
Molecule: transfer RNA, 94 nt
Filed under: Kitasatospora indigofera
Lineage: Bacteria; Bacillati; Actinomycetota; Actinomycetes; Kitasatosporales; Streptomycetaceae
Description: tRNA-Arg
Source: RNAcentral